This 468-nucleotide ribosomal RNA is filed under the name uncultured bacterium. RNAcentral describes it as "partial 16S ribosomal RNA". It matches the Rfam family "Bacterial small subunit ribosomal RNA", at positions 28 to 507 of the family's 1533-position model. The record is from RNAcentral.
GACGAACGCUGGCGGCGUGCUUAACACAUGCAAGUCGAACGGAAAGGCCCUGCUUUUGUGGGGUGCUCGAGUGACGAACGGGUGAGUAACACGUGAGUAACCUGCCCUUGACUUUGGGAUAACUUCAGGAAACUGGGGCUAAUACCGGAUAGGAGCUCCUGCUGCAUGGUGGGGGUUGGAAAGUUUCGGCGGUUGGGGAUGGACUCGCGGCUUAUCAGCUUGUUGGUGGGGUAGUGGCUUACCAAGGCCUUGACGGGUAGCCGGCCUGAGAGGGUGACCGGCCACAUUGGGACUGAGAUACGGCCCAGACUCCUACGGGAGGCAGCAGUGGGGAAUAUUGCACAAUGGGCGGAAGCCUGAUGCAGCAACGCCGCGUGCGGGAUGACGGCCUUCGGGUUGUAAACCGAUUUCGCCUGUGACGAAGCGUGAGUGACGGUAAUGGGUAAAGAAGCACCGGCUAACUACGUG